GGACUACCGGGGUAUCUAAUCCCGUUUGCUCCCCUAGCUUUCGCGCCUCAGCGUCAGUAUUGGGCCAGAUGAGCGCCUUCGCCACCGGUGUUCCUCCUGAUAUCUACGCAUUUCACCGCUACACCAGGAAUUCCCUCAUCCUCUCCCAUACUCAAGUCCGGCAGUUUGGGAUGCAGAUCCCCGGGUAAGCCGGGGCAUUUCACAUUCCACUUACCGGACCGCCUACACGCCCUUUACGCCCAGUGAUUCCGAACAACGCUUGCUCCCCCCGUGUUACCGCGGCUGCUGGCAC
Molecule: ribosomal RNA, 292 nt
Filed under: uncultured bacterium
Lineage: Bacteria
Description: partial 16S ribosomal RNA
Source: RNAcentral